AUUGAACGCUGGCGGCAUGCUUUACACAUGCAAGUCGGACGGCAGCAGGGUGGUGCUCGCACUACUGCCGGCGAGUGGCGAACGGGAUACAACGGUACGGGCACGUACCGAGGGGUGAGGGAUGAGCAAGCUACGGAUUUGCCACUACCGCACUCGCGCUGAAAGGGGGGGCAGGUCGGCUCCCGCCCUAUCGUAGUGCCCGCUGCCAAUAUCUGAUUAGGGAGUGGGUGGGGUAAAGGCCUACCAAGCCGACGAGCAGUAGCGGGUCUGAGAGGACGACCAGCCAAACUGGGACUGAGACACGGCCCAGACUCCUACGGGAGGCAGCAGUGGGGAAUUUUGGACAAUGGGCGCAAGCCUGAUCCAGCCAUUCCGCGGGCAGGACGAAGGCCUUCGGGUUGUAAACUGCUUUUGUAUGGAACGAAAAGGCUCUGGCUAAUACCUGUGGCUCAUGACGGUACCGUAAGAAUAAGCACCGGCUAACUACGG
RNAcentral lists this ribosomal RNA (489 nucleotides) under uncultured bacterium. RNAcentral describes it as "partial 16S ribosomal RNA". It matches the Rfam family "Bacterial small subunit ribosomal RNA", at positions 29 to 506 of the family's 1533-position model. The record is from RNAcentral.